Non-coding RNA from Podarcis lilfordi (Lilford's wall lizard), 82 nucleotides. Lineage: Eukaryota; Metazoa; Chordata; Lepidosauria; Squamata; Lacertidae. The record is from the annotation of a GenBank genome assembly.
GGCUGGUGGAGUGGGAUAGCUCAGUCGGUAGAGCAUGAGACUCUUAAUCUCAGGGUUGUGGGUUUGAGACCCUUGUUGGUUG